GAAAAUGCAUCCUCUCUCCUCGACAGCUUGGAGAGAAAAAACACACAGUGAAAAACAGGAAACCAGUGUACGUCACAUCCAGUCUCCCUUUCCCGUGAGAAACUCCAACAGUACAGACUGUGGAAUGUAAACACCUGUCUUGUGACUGCAGUUGCUGCACAGUGAAGGAAAACAGAAACCAACAUCCUCCCCCUUUCUGUGAACAUCACUGGGCAGCGUGUUCGUACAGUAUCAGUACAAACCCAACUUCUGCACAUAGGUACAGUGUUGAUCCCUUGAUACAAUCUUGGACAAUACAUCAGCAGGAAUUUCAUUACCUGGCAUAUAGGACACCGUUACGAGUCCCUUCUGAAUACAUUCCCUAGCAUGCUGCAACUUUAAUUGCAAGUGCUUUGUGCUUUGCUUACAACCUUCAGACUUCAGCAAAGCCAAACAUGCUUUGUUGUCCUGGUAAACCUGGAUUGGACAUUUGACAGGAAUUUUCAUAUCUUUGCACAAUUGUACUAACCAUUCACAAUCCUUAAGUGAAUAAGACAGUGCAUUCAGUUCGGCUUCACAAGUACUUAAGCUAACUGUUGUUUGCUUCUUGCAUGACCAAUCAAAAAGACCCUGAUUGUACAUGUAGCAAACUCCAGACGUACUUUUCCUGUCUGUAGCGUCACUUCCAAAACUUGCAUCUGCAAAUAUCUCAAGACCACCAGACUUCUGAUUGUUAAAUCUCAGUCUGUAAUGCAUAGUGCCUUUCAAAUACCGCGCUAUGCGUUUCAGAGCUUUCCAAUCCUUGACACUAGGAUUGUUGACUUGUCUGCUUAGCAAAUUACAGCUAACAGCAAUGUCUGGUCUUGAACAUCUGGCAAUGAAGUUUAGCUUGCCUAGCACACUCCUGUACAGUGUAGUGUCAGAAAAUGCUUCUUCAGUGUCAUCUACCUGAUAACCUGUUGUCAUCGGUGUGUCUACAGGGUUAGCAUCCAUCAGAUUUAGUUUGCUUAACACAUCAGCAAUUUUCCGUGACUGGUGUACUAGAAUGUUACCAUCUUGAUCUCUCUCUAUUUCCAGAGAUAGGUAGUUGUUUACCUCACCAAGAUCUUUCAUGUCAAAGUGCUC
This 1104-nucleotide long non-coding RNA is filed under the name Podarcis lilfordi (Lilford's wall lizard). The record is from RNAcentral. Lineage: Eukaryota; Metazoa; Chordata; Lepidosauria; Squamata; Lacertidae.